Long non-coding RNA from Sinocyclocheilus grahami, 220 nucleotides. RefSeq lists it as uncharacterized. The record is from RefSeq and is a predicted model, not a curated record. Lineage: Eukaryota; Metazoa; Chordata; Actinopteri; Cypriniformes; Cyprinidae. The transcript is spliced from 3 exons.
UAAAGAUGGACGACAUGGACAGCAAUCAGAGGUGUACUCAACGGGAAGCCCUCUAAGUGGUCUCAUAAGCUAACCUCUUCCUGUGUGCCUGUCUACCUCGACAGUGAGGAACAACUGUCCUGUUUGCUGAUCUGAGAGGAGUGCUGCAUAGGACACCAACACAACUGAGCUUCACAGAUGAAGUGCAGAGGCCAUCAUAUAAAUGCCUUGGCUGUCCUAC